This 392-nucleotide ribosomal RNA is filed under the name uncultured bacterium. RNAcentral's name for it is "partial 16S ribosomal RNA". It matches the Rfam family "Bacterial small subunit ribosomal RNA", at positions 523 to 918 of the family's 1533-position model. The record is from RNAcentral.
AUACGGAAGGUCCGGGCGUUAUCCGGAUUUAUUGGGUUUAAAGGGAGCGCAGGCGGCCUUUUAAGCGUGACGUGAAAUGUAGGCGCUCAACGUCUGAAUUGCGUCGCGAACUGUUAGGCUUGAGUAGACGGAAUGUCGGCGGAAUUCGUGGUGUAGCGGUGAAAUGCUUAGAUAUCACGAAGAACUCCGAUUGCGAAGGCAGCUGACAGCAGUUUUACUGACGCUCAUGCUCGAAAGUGCGGGUAUCGAACAGGAUUAGAUACCCUGGUAGUCUGCACGGUAAACGAUGGAUGCCCGCUGUUUGCCAUUUUGGUAAGCGGCCAAGCGAAAGCAUUAAGCAUCCCACCUGGGGAGUACGCCGGCAACGGUGAAACUCAAAGGAAUUGACGGGG